AAAAUAAAUGCUAAAAAAAAUGAAGUACAAGAUUUGAAAUCAACAUAUUAAAAAUACUUUGAUCGAUGGAAGUAAUAGAUCCGAUAAUAAUACUGGUCAUAUGAUUUCCGUCUGUAACAGGAUAAAAAAAACCUCAUAA
Long non-coding RNA from Bradysia coprophila, 139 nucleotides. The record is from RefSeq and is a predicted model, not a curated record. NCBI's taxonomy places the organism in Eukaryota, Metazoa, Arthropoda, Insecta, Diptera, Sciaridae.